Molecule: non-coding RNA, 186 nt
Filed under: Luteimonas endophytica
Lineage: Bacteria; Pseudomonadati; Pseudomonadota; Gammaproteobacteria; Lysobacterales; Lysobacteraceae
Description: Luteimonas sp. RD2P54 6S RNA
Rfam family: 6S / SsrS RNA
About the family: E. coli 6S RNA was the first non coding RNA to be sequenced, but its function was unknown until recently.
Source: RNAcentral
CGUCCUCUGCCGUGUUCGACGGCGUGCGCAAACAUUCGCCUUGUCCCUUAAUGACGACCUCGGGGACGCAGCGGUUUCCGGGUGUGCAUGUCCGCCUCGCAGCGGGAAGCCCGAUGGAAACCCGGCGUUCCCACUUGAACCCCGGGUUCAAGGUCGUUUGGCGCGCAUCGCCAUGGCGGAGGACGU